Long non-coding RNA from Eriocheir sinensis (Chinese mitten crab), 511 nucleotides. RefSeq lists it as uncharacterized. The transcript is spliced from 3 exons. Lineage: Eukaryota; Metazoa; Arthropoda; Malacostraca; Decapoda; Varunidae. The record is from RefSeq and is a predicted model, not a curated record.
AUAAAGCAGUGCCAGAGACGCUGGCAAACUGUUAUGCAUGAAGCAAAAUCUAAAAUUAGUGCCUACCAAAAGGCCAGGAAUGGAACAGGUGGUGGCCUUCCGCCUACACCCCUCGGGGAGCUAGAGGUCAUCAUCGCUGAUGUGCUGGGAGAGGGGAACGUAUCAGUCAAUUCUAUUGACAGGACAGUGGUGGACCCUUUUCCACUUGACACUGAAGAUGUUCCCGAAAAUGGGAGUCUUCAGGUGGAUGUCACACCACCUGUCCCUCCCCAACCCAGCACAGACACACCUCAAACCACCACCACACCACCACCAGUAGUUCCUGCCGCUGCAGCUUCCUCCAGUACACCAGUUGGGACCUGCACCAUGUUGGUGGAUGAGGAGGAGCUGCAGUUCAUCCGCCUGAAGAGGGAACUUGAACUGCAGGCUGCAGAGCUACAAGUUGAAAUUAAACAGGCAGAAUUAAAAAAACUUAAACAAGAAACUGAAAAUUUAAAAGUACAUAAAACCC